Long non-coding RNA from Zea mays, 2685 nucleotides. RefSeq lists it as uncharacterized. Lineage: Eukaryota; Viridiplantae; Streptophyta; Magnoliopsida; Poales; Poaceae. The record is from RefSeq and is a predicted model, not a curated record. The transcript has 3 exons.
GUCCGCUUCCAGUCAGUCGCCGCCGCCACUGAACUGGAAGUUGAAACCAGCUCGCCCGGGGUCCGGUCGACCCCCCCCCCCCCCCCCCCCCCCCCCUCUCAGAGUUUGCUGCUGCUAGCCUGCUAGGAGGCAGCGGCGACCAUGGGAAACUGUUGUGCCACACCCUCGACGAACGAAAGCGGCAAGAGCUACCAGAAGCAGCAGAAGGUGAACCCCUACAACGUCGUGUAAAACCGCGUGGCAGCGGCCCCGACGCGCCCCGGCCUGGUGGUUCUGCUGGACCCGACGCGGAGGGACCUCGGCGCGCAGUACGAGCUCGACGAUGAGUGGGGACGCAGCGAGUUCGGCGUCACGUACAUGUGUCUGCCAUGAGGGCGUGGUACCCGUGCAAGUCCGUAUCCAAGCGCUAUCUGUGGACGCCCGUGGACGUGGAGGACGUGCGCCGGGAGGUGGACAUCCUGCGCUACAUGCCGGUGCACCCCGGCAUCAUCAGCCUCCGUGCCGUUUAUGAGGACACCAUGCACCUGCGCCACAUGAGGACGCCGUGCACCUCGACACCUCUUCGACAGGAUCGUCGCUCGGAGCCAUUACAUCGAGCGCGCAGCCGUCACGCGCACCAUAGUCGAGGUCGUCCAGGUCAGCAUCUCUCUUCCCCUCUUCUUCUUAGUUCUUGAUUGCUACGAGCCUACGACCAGUGUUAGCUUUUUAUGGUUUUCAGUCGUUAGCUUCUUGGUUCUUUAUUUUUUUCUGAACGAUACAAUUAUAUUACAAAAUGAUGUGAAAAGAAGGCUACUCACAAAUCAACUUCCCCCGUCUCGUUUAUGUGAAAGAGAACUUGUUUUCUAUAAGAUUUCUUUCUUAAUAUUUUAUUUUAUACCAUGGGUCUAAUUUUCUUAUGGUUUUCAGUAAUGUUCCUUAACCAAAUUUAUUUCUCUCAGCGCUUGUGGCAUGUGUGGUACUUGUUUUACAUAGCUUGAUUUAUUAUGAGAUUACUAAACUUAAGUUGGGAGAAGAUCCCUAGAUCAUCCAACAUAGCUAGGCCCUAAGUCAAAUCUGACAUGGCUGAAAGGCUUGAAGAAUUAGAGUGCAGUAGAAUUUGUCCAAGUUCGAACUACUAUAAUAUUUGAGUUCAUAAGAAAACCAAUUGCACUUAAGCCUUGAUGCGGCUAAAUAACUAGGAAUCAAGAUCAUUUCUGUUUUAUCUGACAUGCUAAAGUAUUAGUCUAAUGAGCUAGGCAGUUUUGUAGGAAGCGUUUGAGAUGACUCUAUGGUGACUACUAACAUUUCAGAACUAGACGCUCAAUUCUACUGAACUUUAUGUCAUCUAAAUUUUUCCUUUAUGGCCAUAAUGGUCCCUACGUCUCAUUACAUAUAACAUACGUCUUAAGGUCAGCACAACAGACACUACAUAGCAAAUUAAAGUCUAGAUGUUGCUCUUUUGAAGAUAAAGCUAUGCCUUUGUUUGAAGUUUAGAUUUAAACCUCAUCUUCCUCUGUGCACAUUCAUCUUAUGUUGUUGCCUUGUUGGGGUUAUUUUCCAGAAACAUGCACUUUUGAUGGCACUCAUGGUGUUACGUGAGGACUGUAAAUAAUCUCUAUAGUGUGACGUAGCCUAUCAUGAACUCAUGAUAAUGAUGAUCAUCUGGGCAAACCUUUCUUUGUUCCUUUAUUAUAUAUAUGCUAUGCAAACACAACCCUGCAAUUCAGAGCAUGGUGCGUGAUGAAGCUGGGACAUCAAAUGGUGGUCUGAAGAGUGACCCAAUGUGCAAUGCCUGGGAGAUGGCUGCGGUUUGGAUGCAAAACCAACUUUCCCAGAACAAGACAUAUAUAGGAACUCAUCCUAAACUACAUUAAUCAGCUUUGUGAGCGUUGUCCGAGUCCCAUGGGAGAAUCAGCCGUCGACUCUGCCAGUCUGACAUUGUAUUCACCAUUGGAGGCAAGAAGUCCAAGCUGGAACCCGAGUAGAAUUCAGCUCCAAGUCGAUGCCUACUCACCGCUUUACAGGCUGGACAAUAGAUAUAGAGGAGAUUAUUAUGGACGUAGAUACAUAGAGGAUAUCACUAAGAUUGUACUGUGUUUUUUUACAAGAAGAUUCUUUGUAGUAAUUAUUUUCGCUAACUGAAUUAACAUGUAUGUUUAGAUGUCUGUAGUACAUGUAUUAUUUGCAUACGACUAUAUUUAAUUCUAUUUACAUUUCUAAGACAUAUAUGACACAUCCCCGUCAUGUGUUUCCAAUUUUUUUGUUUCACUGUACAUGAAACCAUUUUAGACACCUAAUCAGUAGUUAGCAAAAAAAAGUCUUUUUCACCAAAUCUGCAUGCCUACCACCGCUUUUAAAAACUUGUCAAAUGAAGUGUUUGCCUUUCAUUAUAUCUAACCUCCUAUUUGUUGCAUCAAGCAAGUUGUAUAGCGCCUGAUAGGGCGCUGCCUUAUUCUAGUGUAUUUUAUAGGCCAAAGGGGCCUACGCGGAGGUUGUGUUGCGCCAGGGAAGAUGUGUGUUGCGUAUGCAGAGACGUGCACCUCUGUCGUGGGCGCGUGUGCACGUCGGCUCGAGUAUUACGCUGAGUGGGAGUUGACACGUGGCUGAGAAAGUUGAGUUCGUACGAGCAAGCACGCGAAGAGAAAAAAAAACGAAAAAAACGCGGGAGGAGGCAUGCAAGCAUGCAGACGUUCGUGAAAAGGACGA